RNAcentral lists this ribosomal RNA (395 nucleotides) under uncultured bacterium. Its description in RNAcentral is "partial 16S ribosomal RNA". It matches the Rfam family "Bacterial small subunit ribosomal RNA", at positions 523 to 918 of the family's 1533-position model. The record is from RNAcentral.
AUACGUAGGGAGCGCGCGUUGUCCGGAAUUACUGGGUGUAAAGGGAGCGUAGGCGGGAGUGCAAGUCAGAUGUGAAAUACAUGGGCUCAACCCAUGGGCUGCAUUUGAAAAUGCAUUUCUUGCGUAAGUAGAGGUAAGCGGAAUUCCUGGUGUAACGGGUAAAUGCGUAGAUAUCAGGAGGAACACCGGUGGAGAAGGCGGCUUACUGGGCUUUUACUGACGCUGAGGCUCGAAAGCGUGGGGAGCAAACAGGAUUAGAUACCCUGGUAGUCCACGCUGUAAACGAUGAUUACUAGGUGUGGGGGGACUGACCCCUUCCGUGCCGCAGUUAACACAAUAAGUAAUCCACCUGGGGAGUACGGCCGCAAGGUUGAAACUCAAAUGAAUUGGCGGGG